RNAcentral lists this non-coding RNA (271 nucleotides) under Nitrosospira briensis. The record is from RNAcentral. Lineage: Bacteria; Pseudomonadati; Pseudomonadota; Betaproteobacteria; Nitrosomonadales; Nitrosomonadaceae.
AAUUCCCGCCACGUUUGAGGUGCUUCGAUCGCUUUUCAUGGUCGAGUUAAACGGGAACCAGGUACGGGACGCUCUGAAUAGUCAUACGGUCAUUGAGAGCUUCCCGGACGCCUGGGCUGCCCCCGCAACGGUGAGCAGGUGUGGGCGUAUCAAUCAAGGAACCUCUGAGCAAUUCGGAGGUCCGCGAGGCCACUGUGAAUUCUCCAGUUCAUGGGAAGGCGAUACGUCAAAUCCUGCAAGCCCGGAUACCGGCCUUGAACGUAUACGGAAC